This 142-nucleotide ribosomal RNA is filed under the name uncultured bacterium. RNAcentral's name for it is "partial 16S ribosomal RNA". It matches the Rfam family "Bacterial small subunit ribosomal RNA", at positions 355 to 488 of the family's 1533-position model. The record is from RNAcentral.
UAGGGAAUCUUCCACAAUGGGCGCAAGCCUGAUGGAGCAACACCGCGUGAGUGAAGAAGGGUUUCGGCUCGUAAAGCUCUGUUGUUGGAGAAGAACGUGCGUGAGAGUAACUGUUCACGCAGUGACGGUACCACCACGAAGA